This is a long non-coding RNA of Salvelinus sp. IW2-2015, 568 nucleotides long. RefSeq lists it as uncharacterized. The record is from RefSeq and is a predicted model, not a curated record. NCBI's taxonomy places the organism in Eukaryota, Metazoa, Chordata, Actinopteri, Salmoniformes, Salmonidae.
GUGCGCAACCUCUGCAUUUAUAGCUACCAUUUGGAAGAGGGCGUAAAAGAGCCUGCCUGAUUUUCUUGUGGCUUGCAGUUGGCAUGGACCAAUUCAUCGCGUAGAUUACGACCUCUCUUAUACACAAUAAGUGGUGGAUUCUUAAAUUCAGCAGGCAAACUUGGGUCCGUGGAUUUAACAUGCCAGUGUUUCUUGACUGCAUCUCCCACUUUUCGGAGAAGAGUAGAGCUGCCCAGAUGAGGACCCACAUCCUGCCUCCACUGCCUCAAUGAAUCAACCACAACACCGGGGUCUGUCGACUUUCACCUCUUUCUAUGGCCUCCUUGUCUGUGUCCACACGUCUGGAGCACAGAAAGAGUAUACAUAUGACCAUAUAUACGUAGCUCUGUGAUGAAUUAUGAUAGAUUGUGCCCAAAAUUGAAUUGUUUCCACGCCCACCAUGCGUCGUGCGCAGUGAUCAUGUGAGAUGAAAUGUUCAUGUUUUUUGAAGUGAGCACUCAGUUUGACUUGAUGAUGAUCCGUUUCGGAUCGAAACGUUGUCAAUAAAGUGGAGAAUAGGGAGCUUCAA